UAAUACGUAGGGGGCAAGCGUUGUCCGGAUUUACUGGGCGUAAAGCGCGCGUAGGCGGAAGCUUAAGCGGGGCCUGAAAGCCCCCGGCUCAACCGGGGAAGGUGGCUGCGAACUGGGCUUCUUGAGGACGAGAGAGGCAGGUGGAAUUCCUGGUGUAGCGGUGAAAUGCGUAGAGAUCAGGAGGAACACCGGUGGCGUAGGCGGCCUGCUGGCUCGUCACUGACGCUGAGGCGCGAAAGCGUGGGGAGCGAACGGGAUUAGAUACCCCGGUAGUCCACGCCGUAAACGAUGGUCACUAGGUGUGUGCGGUAUCGACCCCGCACGUGCCGCCGCUAACGCAGUAAGUGACCCGCCUGGGGAGUACGGCCGCAAGGUUG
This 377-nucleotide ribosomal RNA is filed under the name uncultured bacterium. RNAcentral describes it as "bacterial SSU rRNA". It matches the Rfam family "Bacterial small subunit ribosomal RNA", at positions 521 to 896 of the family's 1533-position model. The record is from RNAcentral.